RNAcentral lists this ribosomal RNA (909 nucleotides) under Umbilicaria vellea. RNAcentral describes it as "partial large subunit ribosomal RNA". It matches the Rfam family "Bacterial large subunit ribosomal RNA", at positions 879 to 1624 of the family's 2925-position model. Lineage: Eukaryota; Fungi; Ascomycota; Lecanoromycetes; Umbilicariales; Umbilicariaceae. The record is from RNAcentral.
GUGUCCUUGAACAACUUGCAUAAAAAAAAUGCUCUUUGUUGAGUUCUUAGGGGUCGUGAAGAUCUUAUUCGCGUGUAUUUGCACUCGGAAGGGUUAUGAUGACUAUAUAAUAAUCAGACAUAGUACGAUAAGGUAGUAUGUCUAAAGGGAAACAGCCCAGAACAAGAGUUAAUAAGGUUCCAAAAUUAUUGUUAAGUGAAAAUAAGGAAGUUUCAAUCAAAUAUGCCCAGGAGAUAGGCUUAGGUGCGGCCAUUUUUUGAAGACCUCGUAACAGAGCACUGGAUUAGAAAAUUAUUUUUAUAAUUUAUAUUGAUAAAAGCACCGAAAAUUUAACGGAUCUAAACAAUAUACCGAGACCUUGUCCAUAUUUAUAUAUAUAUCUAAGUUGUAUAUUGUAUUUAUGGGGUAGCGGAACAUUGGGCAAAUAUAAGAAUUUUUCUUUUUAAGACUUAAGAUAAUAUAACCCAAGCGAUAAUGCUGACAUGAGUAACGAUAAAGGGAAUAAACUAUUCCCUCGCCUAAAACUUAUGGUAUUUACUUAAAGUAACGGCCUCUAAGUUUAUGCACCUAAAGGACUAAACGAUGAGAAAAUCUACUCUACUAAUGAUGAGUAAAUCUACUCUCCUAAAGGAUGAGAAAAUCUACUCUACUAAUGAUGAGAAAAUCUACUCUCCUAAAGGAUGAGAAAAUCUACUCACUGCGAAUAAAUAACCUUUGUGAUGAGACUUAUGCCGCUUUAGGCGGGGUAAGGUGUAAGCUUUUUUGCUAAAGUAACAAGGUUCUGGAAAUUUAAGUAGUGCAUCAUGGACAAUAGGCAGGAGGCAAUCUCCUGCCUAUCAUGGACAAUAAGGAGGAGGCAAUCUCCUGCCUACCAUGGUGUAAAAAGACCGUACCUAGAAACUACCCCCA